GAUGAACGCUGGCGGCGUGCCUAAUACAUGCAAGUCGAGCGAACAGACGAGGAGCUUGCUCCUCUGACGUUAGCGGCGGACGGGUGAGUAACACGUGGAUAACCUACCUAUAAGACUGGGAUAACUUCGGGAAACCGGAGCUAAUACCGGAUAAUAUAUUGAACCGCAUGGUUCAAUAGUGAAAGACGGUUUUGCUGUCACUUAUAGAUGGAUCCGCGCCGCAUUAGCUAGUUGGUAAGGUAACGGCUUACCAAGGCAACGAUGCGUAGCCGACCUGAGAGGGUGGUCGGCCACACUGGAACUGAGACACGGUCCAGACGCCGACGGGAGGCAGCAGGAGGGAAUCUUCCGCAAUGGGCGAAAGCCUGACGGAGCAACGCCGCGUUAGUGAUGAAGGUCUUCGGAUCGUAAAACUCUGUUAUUAGGGAAGAACAAAUGUGUAAGUAACUAUGCACGUCUUGACGGUACCUAAUCAGAAAGCCACGGCUAACUACGUG
This 497-nucleotide ribosomal RNA is filed under the name uncultured bacterium. RNAcentral's name for it is "partial 16S ribosomal RNA". It matches the Rfam family "Bacterial small subunit ribosomal RNA", at positions 28 to 507 of the family's 1533-position model. The record is from RNAcentral.